This 497-nucleotide ribosomal RNA is filed under the name uncultured bacterium. Its description in RNAcentral is "partial 16S ribosomal RNA". It matches the Rfam family "Bacterial small subunit ribosomal RNA", at positions 28 to 507 of the family's 1533-position model. The record is from RNAcentral.
GAUGAACGCUGGCGGCGUGCCUAAUACAUGCAAGUCGAGCGAACAGACGAGGAGCUUGCUCCUCUGACGUUAGCUGCGGAAGGGUGAGUCACACGUGGAUAACCUACCUAUAUAACUUGGAUAACUUCGGGAAACCGGAGCUAAUACCGGCUAAUAUUUUCACCUGCAUGGUUAAAUACUGAAAGACCGUUUUGCUGUACCUUAUUGAUGUAUCCUCGCCGCAUUUGCUAGUUGGUAAGGUAACGGCUUACCAAGGCGACGAUGCGUAGCCGACCUGAGAGGGUGAACGGGCACACUGGAACAGAGACAGGGUCCAGACUCCUAGGGGAGGCAGCAGUAGGGAAUCUUACGCGAUGGGCGAAAGCCUGACAGAGCAACGCCGCGUGAGUGAUGAAGGUCUUCGGAUCGUAAAACGCUGUUAUUAGGGAAGAACAAAUGUGUAAGUAACUAUGCACGUCUUGACGGUACCUAAUCAGAAAGCCACGGCUAACUACGUG